CACGCUUCUUGGAUAUGCCAUGUCUGCUGGAUGUCGAGUUGGCAAAAUGACAAAUGGAAAGACGGAUCAGUUCAUCAGGCGAUGGGAGGCCAGCAUCAUUCCAAAGCUGAAAGCAGUGGCUGCCACGGAAAGACGUGAUGUUGCAGCUCUUAUAAAGGGGAUUGAAGACCAAACAGAUGAUGAGAAAUGCUACACAACACUGGUUGUUCUCACACAUCUCUGCCACCAUUACCUGGGAGUCGAUGCAGUGUUAAAUGUGCAAUUUCAUUCCUACUUGAUUUUGUACAGGUAUGUUUCAUAAGGUAUUUGGUAGAGAUGCAUUACAGCUUCAGUUUUGACUUCUCUUUAUUUUUG
Long non-coding RNA from Cyprinus carpio carpio, 354 nucleotides. NCBI's taxonomy places the organism in Eukaryota, Metazoa, Chordata, Actinopteri, Cypriniformes, Cyprinidae. The record is from Ensembl.